GGCAACAACCCUGACCUCCAGCUAAGGUCCCCAAGUCAUGGCUAAGUGGGAAAGGAUGUGAGGAUCCCAAAACAACCAGGAUGUUGGCUUAGAAGCAGCCAUCAUUUAAAGAAAGCGUAACAGCUCACUGGUCUAAAUAAGGGUCUUUGCGCCGAAAAUGUAACGGGGCUAAAGCCAUGCACCGAAGCUGAGGAUUUGCACUUUGUGCAAGUGGUAGCGGAGCGUUCCGUAAGUCUGUGAAGGCGGACCCGUGAGGGCUGCUGGAGAUAUCGGAAGUGCGAAUGUUGACAUGAGUAACGAUAAAGGGAGUGAGAGACUCCCUCGCCGAAAGACCAAGGGUUCCUGCUUAAAGUUAAUCUGAGCAGGGUUAGCCGGCCCCUAAGACGAGGCGGACACGCGUAGUCGAUGGGAACCACGUUAAUAUUCGUGGGCCUGGUGGUAGUGACGGAUCUCGUGUGUUGUUCAACCUUAUUGGAUUGGUUGGGCGGCGAAGAGGUUCCAGGAAAUAGCUCCACCGUAUAGACCGUACCCGAAACCGACACAGGUGGUCAGG
Molecule: ribosomal RNA, 553 nt
Filed under: Agrobacterium tumefaciens
Lineage: Bacteria; Pseudomonadati; Pseudomonadota; Alphaproteobacteria; Hyphomicrobiales; Rhizobiaceae
Description: bacterial LSU rRNA
Rfam family: Bacterial large subunit ribosomal RNA
Source: RNAcentral